ACGGAAGGCAGCAGUGGGGGAUAUUGCACAAUGGGCGAAAGCCUGAUGCAGCAAUGCCGCGUGAGGGAAGAAGGUUUUCGGAUUGUAAACCUCUGUCCCCUGUGACGAAACAAAUGACGGUAGCAGGGGAGGAAGCCACGGCUAACUACGUGCCAGCAGCCGCGGUAAUACGUAGGUGGCAAGCGUUGUCCGGAUUUACUGGGUGUAAAGGGAGCGCAGGCGGGAGAGCAAGUCAGCGGUGAAAUACAUGGGCUUAACCCAUGAACUGCCGUUGAAACUGUUUUUCUUGAGUGAAGUAGAGGUAGGCGGAAUUCCGAGUGUAGCGGUGAAAUGCGUAGAUAUUCGGAGGAACACCAGUGGCGAAGGCGGCCUACUGGGCUUUUACUGACGCUGAGGCUCGAAAGUGUGGGGAGCAAACAGGAUUAGAUACCCUGGUA
This 437-nucleotide ribosomal RNA is filed under the name uncultured Clostridiales Family IV bacterium. Its description in RNAcentral is "bacterial SSU rRNA". It matches the Rfam family "Bacterial small subunit ribosomal RNA", at positions 341 to 792 of the family's 1533-position model. The record is from RNAcentral. Lineage: Bacteria; Bacillati; Bacillota; Clostridia; Eubacteriales; Eubacteriales Family IV. Incertae Sedis.